AUUGAACGCUGGCGGCAUGCUUUACACAUGUAAGUCGAACGGCAGCGCGGGCUUCGGCCUGGCGGCGAGUGGCGAACGGGUGAGUAAUACAUCGGAACGUGCCCAGUAGUGGGGGAUAGCUCGGCGAAAGCCGGAUUAAUACCGCAUACGACCUGAGGGUGAAAGCGGGGGAUCUUCGGACCUCGCGCUAUUGGAGCGGCCGAUGGCAGAUUAGCUAGUUGGUGGGGUAAAGGCCUACCAAGGCGACGAUCUGUAGCUGGUCUGAGAGGACGACCAGCCACACUGGGACUGAGACACGGCCCAGACUCCUACGGGAGGCAGCAGUGGGGAAUUUUGGACAAUGGGCGAAAUCCUGAUCCAGCAAUGCCGCGUGUGUGAUGAAGGCCUUCGGGUUGUAAAGCACUUUUGGCGGGAACGAAAAGGACUGUGCCAAUACCACGGUUCGAUGACGGUACCCGCAGAAUAAGCACCGGCUAACUACGUG
Molecule: ribosomal RNA, 484 nt
Filed under: uncultured bacterium
Lineage: Bacteria
Description: partial 16S ribosomal RNA
Rfam family: Bacterial small subunit ribosomal RNA
Source: RNAcentral